Molecule: ribosomal RNA, 447 nt
Filed under: Aphistogoniulus hova
Lineage: Eukaryota; Metazoa; Arthropoda; Diplopoda; Spirobolida; Pachybolidae
Description: partial 16S ribosomal RNA
Rfam family: Bacterial large subunit ribosomal RNA
Source: RNAcentral
GCAGGAUAUUGACUGUACAAAGGUAGCAUAAUAAUUAGUCUUUUAAUUGAAGACUGGAAUGAAAGGUCCAACAAGCUUUAACUGUCUCUGAAGUAUUUUAUUAAMUUAUUUUUUUUGUAAAAAAACAAAGAUGAAUUAAAGGCACAAGAAGACCCUAUCAAACUUAUUUUAUUUUGUAUAUAAUUUAAGUAAAUAASAGUAAUAUGCUAGUUAAAAUUUACUGGGGCGGUGAGUAUAAAACCUUAUUUAGGUACAAUAUUUUUAAUGGCUUAAUAUAAGGAUCCAAAGAUUGAUUGAUAAUAAAAAAAAGUUACUGUAGGGAUAACAGCGUAAUAUCUUUUGAGAGUUCAUAUUGACAAAAAUGUUUGCCACCUCGAUGUUGGAUUAGGAAAUCUUAUUGACGCAAGAGUCAAUUUUAAAGAUAGUCUGUUCGACUAUUAAAUUCUU